CGAGCGGCAGCACGGGGAGCUUGCUCCCUGGUGGCGAGCGGCGGACGGGUGAGUAAUGCAUAGGAAUCUGCCCGGUAGUGGGGGAUAACGUGGGGAAACCCACGCUAAUACCGCAUACGUCCUACGGGAGAAAGCGGAGGAUCUUCGGACUUCGCGCUAUCGGAUGAGCCUAUGUCGGAUUAGCUAGUUGGUAAGGUAACGGCUUACCAAGGCAACGAUCCGUAGCUGGUCUGAGAGGAUGAUCAGCCACACUGGGACUGAGACACGGCCCAGACUCCUACGGGAGGCAGCAGUGGGGAAUAUUGGACAAUGGGCGAAAGCCUGAUCCAGCCAUGCCGCGUGUGUGAAGAAGGCUUUCGGGUUGUAAAGCACUUUCAGCGAGGAAGAAAGCCUCUGGGUUAAUACCCCAGAGGAAGGACAUCACUCGCAGAAGAAGCACCGGCUAACUCCGUGCCAGCAGCCGCGGUAAUACGGAGGGUGCGAGCGUUAAUCGGAAUUACUGGGCGUAAAGCGCGCGUAGGUGGCUUGGCACGCCGGUUGUGAAAGCCCCGGGCUCAACCUGGGAACUGCAUCCGGAACGGCCAGGCUAGAGUGCAGGAGAGGAAGGUAGAAUUCCCGGUGUAGCGGUGAAAUGCGUAGAGAUCGGGAGGAAUACCAGUGGCGAAGGCGGCCUUCUGGCCUGACACUGACACUGAGGUGCGAAAG
Molecule: ribosomal RNA, 705 nt
Filed under: uncultured bacterium
Lineage: Bacteria
Description: bacterial SSU rRNA
Rfam family: Bacterial small subunit ribosomal RNA
Source: RNAcentral